AUUGAACGCUGGCGGCAUGCCUUACACAUGCAAGUCGAACGGUAACGGGCCUUCGGGGUACGACGAGUGGCGGACGGGUGCGUAACGCGUAUGCAACAUGCCUUCCAGCGGGGGAGUAUACCAGGGAAACGUUAGGCGCAAUACCCCACUAGAAUUACGGGACCGCAUGGUCUUGUGAUUAAAACUACCGGUGCUGGGAGAUUGGCAUGCGUGACAUUAGCUAGUUGGCGGGGUAACGGCCCACCCAAGGCGACGAUGUCUAGCUGGUCUGAGAGGAUGAUCAGCCACACUGGGACGUGAGACACGGCCCAGACUCCUACGGGAGGCAGCAG
Molecule: ribosomal RNA, 332 nt
Filed under: uncultured bacterium
Lineage: Bacteria
Description: bacterial SSU rRNA
Rfam family: Bacterial small subunit ribosomal RNA
Source: RNAcentral